This 401-nucleotide ribosomal RNA is filed under the name uncultured bacterium. Its description in RNAcentral is "bacterial SSU rRNA". It matches the Rfam family "Bacterial small subunit ribosomal RNA", at positions 28 to 421 of the family's 1533-position model. The record is from RNAcentral.
GAUGAACGCUAGCGGCAGGCCUAACACAUGCAAGUCGAGGGGCAGCAUAAAACAAGCUUGCUUGUUUGGUGGCGACCGGCGCACGGGUGCGUAACGCGUAUGCAACCUACCCUGUACUGGGGGAUAGCCCGGAGAAAUCUGGAUUAAUACCCCAUGGUAUCUACGAAUCGAUUGGUUUGUAGCUUAAAGAUUUAUCGGUAAAAGAUGGGCAUGCGUCUGAUUAGCUAGUUGGCGGGGUAACGGCCCACCAAGGCGACGAUCAGUAGGGGUUCUGAGAGGACGAUCAGCCACACUGGGACUGAGACACGGCCCAGACUCCUACGGGAGGCAGCAGUGGGGAAUUUUGGACAAUGGGGGCAACCCUGAUCCAGCAAUGCCGCGUGAGUGAAGAAGGCCUUCGG